Molecule: ribosomal RNA, 342 nt
Filed under: uncultured bacterium
Lineage: Bacteria
Description: partial 16S ribosomal RNA
Rfam family: Bacterial small subunit ribosomal RNA
Source: RNAcentral
GACGAACGCUGGCGGCGUGCUUAACACAUGCAAGUCGAGUGCGCGUCCCGGUCGCAAGACCGGGAUGGCGCACGGCGCACGGGUGCGUAACACGUGGGCAAUCUGCCCUUCGAUGGGGAAUAACUCCGGGAAACCGAAGCUAAUUCCGCAUAACAUUCCGAGGACCCCGGUCCUUUGGUAUUCAAAGACCGUAAGGCGUCGAAGGAGGAGCCCGCGCACGAUUAGCUAGUUGGUGAGGUAACGGCNCACCAAGGCUAUGAUCGUUAGCUGGUCUGAGAGGAUGGCCAGCCACACUGGAACUGAGACACGGUCCAGACUCCUACGGGAGGCAGCAGUGGGGAA